This 587-nucleotide ribosomal RNA is filed under the name uncultured prokaryote. Its description in RNAcentral is "bacterial SSU rRNA". It matches the Rfam family "Bacterial small subunit ribosomal RNA", at positions 338 to 916 of the family's 1533-position model. The record is from RNAcentral.
CCUACGGGAGGCAGCAGUGGGGAAUUUUGGACAAUGGGGGAAACCCUGAUCCAGCCAUGCCGCGUGAGUGAAGAAGGCCUUCGGGUUGUAAAGCUCUUUCGGCUGGGAAGAAAUCGCACAGGCUAAUACUCUGUGUGGAUGACGGUACCAGCACAAGAAGCACCGGCUAACUACGUGCCAGCAGCCGCGGUAAUACGUAGGGUGCGAGCGUUAAUCGGAAUUACUGGGCGUAAAGCGUGCGCAGGCGGUUGUGCAAGACAGAUGUGAAAUCCCCGGGCUCAACCUGGGAACUGCAUUUGUGACUGCACGACUAGAGUACGGCAGAGGGGGGUAGAAUUCCACGUGUAGCAGUGAAAUGCGUAGAGAUGUGGAGGAAUACCGAUGGCGAAGGCAGCCCCCUGGGCCGAUACUGACGCUCAUGCACGAAAGCGUGGGGAGCAAACAGGAUUAGAUACCCUGGUAGUCCACGCCCUAAACGAUGUCAACUAGUUGUUGGUAGGGUUAAACCUAUUAGUAACGUAGCUAACGCGUGAAGUUGACCGCCUGGGGAGUACGGUCGCAAGAUUAAAACUCAAAUGAAUUGACGG